Molecule: long non-coding RNA, 555 nt
Organism: Zingiber officinale
Lineage: Eukaryota; Viridiplantae; Streptophyta; Magnoliopsida; Zingiberales; Zingiberaceae
Exons: 2
Source: RefSeq, a predicted model, not a curated record
GCCGUUGCUUCUUCAACCCUUCGUUGUUCCUCUCCGACGACAAGGAGACGUACUUGAUUCGUUUACUCUCAUAUCCUUCCUUUGCUCUCGCGGUUUUAGAUUUAUGCAUUCUUCUUUUUAUUUGUCAAUUGAUCAAAUUUUGGUCGCUGUCGUUUUGUUUCCUUUAGGUUAGAAGCAGAUAUCUUCUCCGGGAGCAUCUCUUUGAGUCAAAGGCGGACGCUGGAGCAUCCAAGACCUACUCACAGAAGGUUGGAACCGCCUGCAAGGAAACAACAAAGUAACUCUUGAGUUCAUGGGGGAGGAUAACAUAAUCCACUUUGGUGGCUGCCACUGCAAGCGUGUUAGAUGGCAGGUUGAAGCACCAUCUAGUGUGGUAGUAUGGAGCUGCAAUUGCUCCAACUGUUCCAUGAGAGCAAACACCAACUUCGUAGUGCCAUCAUCGAAAUUCAAGCUCGCAGCCGAUUCCUAGCAAUUCCUGACAACUUAUACCUUCGGCACUCAUACUGCCAAGCACACCUUCUGCAAGCUAUGCGGCAUAACUUCCUUCUACUUCCC